RNAcentral lists this ribosomal RNA (590 nucleotides) under uncultured bacterium. Its description in RNAcentral is "partial 16S ribosomal RNA". It matches the Rfam family "Bacterial small subunit ribosomal RNA", at positions 355 to 1375 of the family's 1533-position model. The record is from RNAcentral.
UGGGGAAUUUUGGACAAUGGGCGAAAGCCUGAUCCAGCAAUGCCGCGUGUGUGAAGAAGGCCUUCGGGUUGUAAAGCACUUUUGUCCGGAAAGAAAUCCUUGGCUCUAAUACAGUCGGGGGAUGACGGUACCGGAAGAAUAAGCACCGGCUAACUACGUGCCAGCAGCCGCGGUAAUACGUAGGGUGCAAGCGUUAAUCGGAAUUACUGGGCGUAAAGCGUGCGCAGGCGGUUUGCUAAGACCGAUGUGAAAUCCCCGGGCUCAACCUGGGAACUGCAUUGGUGACUGGCAGGCUAGAGUAUGGCAGAGGGGGGUAGAAUUCCACGUGUAGCAGUGAAAUGCGUAGAGAUGUGGAGGAAUACCGAUGGCGAAGGCAGCCCCCUGGGCCAAAUACUGACGCUCAUGCACGAAAAGCGUGGGGAGCAAACAGGAUUAGAUACCCCUGGUAGUCCACGCCCUAAAACGAUGUCAACUAGUUGUUGGGGAUUCAUUUCCUUAGUAACGUAGCUAACGCGUGAAGUUGACCGCCUGGGGAGUACGGUCGAAAGAUUAAAAACUCAAAGGAAUUGACGGGGUCAUAGCUGUUUCCU